UGCCAGCCGCCGCGGUAAUACGGAGGGUGCAAGCGUUAAUCGGAAUUACUGGGCGUAAAGCGCGCGUAGGCGGUUGUCUAAGCUAGAUGUGAAAGCCCAGGGCUCAACCUUGGAACUGCAUUUAAUACUGCCAGACUUGAGAUCGGAAGAGGAAAGCGGAAUUUCUAGUGUAGAGGUGAAAUUCGUAGAUAUUAGAAGGAACAUCAGAGGCGAAGGCGGCUUUCUGGUCCGAUACUGACGCUGAGGUACGAAAGCGUGGGGAGCAAACAGGAUUAGAUA
RNAcentral lists this ribosomal RNA (279 nucleotides) under uncultured bacterium. Its description in RNAcentral is "partial 16S ribosomal RNA". It matches the Rfam family "Bacterial small subunit ribosomal RNA", at positions 506 to 784 of the family's 1533-position model. The record is from RNAcentral.